This 273-nucleotide ribosomal RNA is filed under the name uncultured bacterium. RNAcentral describes it as "partial 16S ribosomal RNA". It matches the Rfam family "Bacterial small subunit ribosomal RNA", at positions 524 to 796 of the family's 1533-position model. The record is from RNAcentral.
UACGAAGGGGGCUAGCGUUGUUCGGAAUUACUGGGCGUAAAGGGCGCGUAGGCGGCCUUGAUAGUUGGGCGUGAAAGGCCUGGGCUCAACCCAGGAACUGCGUUCAAUACUGCGAGGCUAGAGUGUGGGAGAGGUUGGUGGAAUUCCCAGUGUAGAGGUGAAAUUCGUAGAUAUUGGGAAGAACACCGGUGGCGAAGGCGGCCAACUGGACCACAACUGACGCUGAGGCGCGAAAGCGUGGGGAGCAAACAGGAUUAGAAACCCCCGUAGUCC